RNAcentral lists this transfer RNA (72 nucleotides) under Thermoplasmatota archaeon. RNAcentral describes it as "tRNA-Gln". It matches the Rfam family "tRNA". From Rfam's summary of the family: Transfer RNA (tRNA) molecules are approximately 80 nucleotides in length. Lineage: Archaea; Methanobacteriati; Thermoplasmatota. The record is from RNAcentral.
AGCCCCGUGGUGUAGUGGUUAACAUAAGAGACUCUGGAUCUCUAGUCGCCGGUUCGAAUCCGGCCGGGGCUG